Molecule: ribosomal RNA, 380 nt
Filed under: uncultured eukaryote
Lineage: Eukaryota
Description: partial 18S ribosomal RNA
Rfam family: Eukaryotic small subunit ribosomal RNA
Source: RNAcentral
CAAUAGCGUAUAUUAAAGUUGUUGCGGUUAAAAAGCUCGUAGUUGGAGUUCUGCCAGGUGCCGCCUGUCCGCCCCAGUGGUGAGUACGUGGCGCGCAUUUGGCCCUUUCAAGGGGAGCGUAUCUGCACUUUAUUGUGUGGUGCGGGAUCCUUGACUUUUACUUUGAGGAAAUAGGAGUGUUCCAAGCAGGCUCUCGUCGUGCACAGCUCAGCAUGGAAUAAUAGCAUUGGACCUCGAUUCUAAGCUGUUGGUUGCCAGAAGCGAGGUAAUGAUGAAGAGGGAUAGUUGGGGGCAUUCGUAUUUAACUGUCAGAGGUGAAAUUCUUGGAUUUGUUAAAGACGGAAUACUGCGAAAGCAUCUGCCAUGGAUGUUUUCAUUGA